UACAGAGGUCCCGAGCGUUGUUCGGAUUCAUUGGGCGUAAAGGGUGCGUAGGCGGUUUGCUAAGUUUGAUGUGAAAGCCCGGGGCUUAACCCUGGAAUGGCAUUGAAUACUGGCGAACUAGAGUACUGGAGAGGAAACUGGAAUUUACGGUGUAGCAGUGAAAUGCGUAGAGAUCCGGCGGAACACCGGUGGCGCAGGCGGUCCCCUGGGCCGAGGCCGACGCUGGGGCGCGAGAGCGCGGGGAGCGAACCGG
This 253-nucleotide ribosomal RNA is filed under the name uncultured bacterium. Its description in RNAcentral is "partial 16S ribosomal RNA". It matches the Rfam family "Bacterial small subunit ribosomal RNA", at positions 524 to 776 of the family's 1533-position model. The record is from RNAcentral.